CAUUCGCCAGGGUACUACGAGCACAGCUUAAAACCCAAAGGACUUGGCGGUGCCUCAGAUCCAACUAGAGGAGCCUGUUCUAGAACCGAUAACCCCCGUUAAACCUCACCACCUCUUGUUUUACCCGCCUAUAUACCGCCGUCGUCAGCUUACCCUAUGAAGGUUCAACAGUAAGCAAAAUGAGUACAUCCCAAAACGUCAGGUCGAGGUGUAGCGAACGAAAUGGGAAGAAAUGGGCUACAUUUUCUAUAUCAGAAUACAACGAAAGGUGGCCUGAAACAUGACACCUGAAGGAGGAUUUAGUAGUAAAAAGGAAAUAGAG
Molecule: ribosomal RNA, 322 nt
Filed under: Astroblepus sp. LBP1357
Lineage: Eukaryota; Metazoa; Chordata; Actinopteri; Siluriformes; Astroblepidae
Description: partial 12S ribosomal RNA
Rfam family: Bacterial small subunit ribosomal RNA
Source: RNAcentral